GAUGAACGCUAGCGGCGGGCUUAAUACAUGCAAGUCGAACGGUAACAGGUCUUUGGACGCUGACGAGUGGCGCACGGGUGCGUAACACGUACACAACCUACCCUAAAGAGGGGAUAGCUCUUGGAAACGAGGAAUAAUACCCCAUAGUACUUGUUGGUCGCAUGGUUGACAAGUUAAAGGUUUACUGCUUUAGGAUGGGUGUGCGGGCCAUUAGGUAGUUGGAGAGGUAACGGCUCACCAAGCCUACGAUGGUUAGCUGGUCUGAGAGGAUGAUCAGCCACACGGGCACUGAGACACGGGCCCGACCUCCGUACGGGAGGCAGCAAGGUAAAGGAAUAGUUGGAACAAGUGGGACGAAAGCCUGACUCCAGCCACGCCGCGUGC
RNAcentral lists this ribosomal RNA (384 nucleotides) under uncultured bacterium. RNAcentral describes it as "bacterial SSU rRNA". It matches the Rfam family "Bacterial small subunit ribosomal RNA", at positions 28 to 404 of the family's 1533-position model. The record is from RNAcentral.